GACGAACGCUGGCAGCGUGCUUAACACAUGCAAGUCGAACGGUAAGGCCCUUCGGGGUACACGAGUGGCGAACGGGUGAGUAACACGUGGGUGAUCUGCCCUGCACUUCGGGAUAAGCCUGGGAAACUGGGUCUAAUACCGGAUAGGACUCCUGGCUUCAUGGUUGGGGGUGGAAAGCUUUUGCGGUGUGGGAUGGGCCCGCGGCCUAUCAGCUUGUUGGUGGGGUAAUUGCCUACCAAGGCGACGACGGGUAGCCGGCCGGAGAGGGUGACCGGUCACACUGGGACUGAGAUACGGACCAGACUCCUACGGGAGGCAGCAGUGGGGAAUAUUGCACAAUGGGCGCAAGCCUGAUGCAGCGACGCCGCGUGAGGGAUGACGGCCUUCGGGUUGUAAACCUCUUUCAGCUAUGACGAAGCGCAAGUGACGGUAGUAGCAGAAGAAGGACCGGCCAACUACGUGCCAGCAGCCGCCGUAA
This 478-nucleotide ribosomal RNA is filed under the name uncultured bacterium. Its description in RNAcentral is "partial 16S ribosomal RNA". It matches the Rfam family "Bacterial small subunit ribosomal RNA", at positions 28 to 523 of the family's 1533-position model. The record is from RNAcentral.